AUUGAACGCUGGCGGCAGGCUUAACACAUGCAAGUCGAGCGGGGGAAGGUAGCUUGCUACCGGACCUAGCGGCGGACGGGUGAGUAAUGCUUAGGAAUCUGCCUAUUAGUGGGGGACAACAUCUAGAAAGGGAUGCUAAUACCGCAUACGUCCUACGGGAGAAAGCAGGGGAUCUUCGGACCUUGCGCUAAUAGAUGAGCCUAAGUCGGAUUAGCUAGUGGGUGGGGUAAAGGCCUACCAAGGCGACGAUCUGUAGCGGGUCUGAGAGGAUGAUCCGCCACACUGGGACUGAGACACGGCCCAGACUCCUACGGGAGGCAGCAGUGGGGAAGAUUGGACAAUGGGGGGAACCCUGAUCCAGCCAUGCCGCGUGUGUGAAGAAGGCCUUAUGGUUGUAAAGCACUUUAAGCGAGGAGGAGGCUACUUUAGUUAAUACCUAGAGAUAGUGGACGUUACUCGCAGAAUAAGCACCGGCUAACUCUGUGCCAGCAGCCGCGGUAA
RNAcentral lists this ribosomal RNA (501 nucleotides) under uncultured bacterium. RNAcentral describes it as "partial 16S ribosomal RNA". It matches the Rfam family "Bacterial small subunit ribosomal RNA", at positions 30 to 523 of the family's 1533-position model. The record is from RNAcentral.